RNAcentral lists this transfer RNA (106 nucleotides) under Metarhizium robertsii. RNAcentral's name for it is "tRNA-Arg". It matches the Rfam family "tRNA". Rfam says of the family: Transfer RNA (tRNA) molecules are approximately 80 nucleotides in length. Their secondary structure includes four short double-helical elements and three loops (D, anti-codon, and T loops). Further hydrogen bonds mediate the characteristic L-shaped molecular structure. tRNAs have two regions of fundamental functional importance: the anti-codon, which is responsible for specific mRNA codon recognition, and the 3' end, to which the tRNAs corresponding amino acid is attached (by aminoacyl-tRNA synthetases). tRNAs cope with the degeneracy of the genetic code in two manners: having more than one tRNA (with a specific anti-codon) for a particular amino acid; and 'wobble' base-pairing, i.e. permitting non-standard base-pairing at the 3rd anti-codon position. Lineage: Eukaryota; Fungi; Ascomycota; Sordariomycetes; Hypocreales; Clavicipitaceae. RNAcentral also lists the same sequence under 1 other name. The record is from RNAcentral.
GGCCGGGUAGCUCAAUGGUAGAGCGUCUGACUCCGAAGCGAUCAGUAUCAUUAUAGUAUCAUUAUCCCGGAGUCAGAAGGUGUAGGUUCGAGUCCUGCCCUGGCUA